UUUAGGUACAGACAAUAGUGUACUGUUAAACAUUUAGCAACGGAUAGGAUUAUUAAGCGUAAUGUUAAGUGCGCCCGUCUAAAUGGAAGCCAUACCUUAAGGUGUGGCUUUUUUUAUUAGU
Molecule: non-coding RNA, 121 nt
Filed under: unclassified sequences
Description: DUF3800-I RNA
Rfam family: DUF3800-I RNA
About the family: Actinobacteria, Firmicutes, Fusobacteria, Proteobacteria (1 example), Tenericutes (2 examples).
Source: Rfam by way of RNAcentral